Molecule: ribosomal RNA, 376 nt
Filed under: uncultured bacterium
Lineage: Bacteria
Description: bacterial SSU rRNA
Rfam family: Bacterial small subunit ribosomal RNA
Source: RNAcentral
GACGAACCGUCCAAACGUUAUUCGGAAUCACUGGGCUUAAAGGGUGCGUAGGCGGUCCGGGAAGUUGGGUGUGAAAGCCCUCGGCUCAACCGAGGAAUUGCGUCCAAAACUGCCGGGCUUGAGGGAGACAUAGGUGAGCGGAACCUAGGGUGGAGCGGUGAAAUGCGUUGAGAUCCUAGGGAACACCAGUAGCGAAAGCGGCUCACUGGGUCUUUUCUGACGCUGAUGCACGAAAGCCAGGGGAGCGAAGAGGAUUAGAUACCCUCGUAGUCCUGGCCGUAAACGAUGAGCACUGAUUUGGAGGGUCCUCCAUAGCCUUCCAGAUGUAGCGAAAGUGUUAAGUGCUCCGCCUGGGGAGUAUGGUCGCAAGGCUGAA